This 620-nucleotide ribosomal RNA is filed under the name uncultured soil bacterium. Its description in RNAcentral is "bacterial SSU rRNA". It matches the Rfam family "Bacterial small subunit ribosomal RNA", at positions 428 to 1051 of the family's 1533-position model. The record is from RNAcentral.
AACUGCUUUUGUACCGGAAUAAACCCCUUUACGUGUAAAGGGCUGAAUGUACGGUAAGAAUAAGGAUCGGCUAACUCCGUGCCAGCAGCCGCGGUAAUACGGAGGAUCCAAGCGUUAUCCGGAUUUAUUGGGUUUAAAGGGUGCGCAGGCGGCCUGUUAAGUCAGGGGUGAAAGACGGUGGCUCAACCAUCGCAGUGCCUUUGAUACUGACGGGCUUGAUUACACAUGAGGCAGGCGGAAUGUGACAAGUAGCGGUGAAAUGCAUAGAUAUGUCACAGAACCCCGAUUGCGAAGGCAGCUUACUAAAGUGUAAAUGACGCUGAGGCACGAAAGCGUGGGGAUCAAACAGGAUUAGAUACCCUGGUAGUCCACGCCCUAAACGAUGAAUACUCGAUGUUGGCGAUAUACAGUCAGCGUCCAAGCGAAAGCGUUAAGUAUUCCACCUGGGGAGUACGUCCGCAAGGAUGAAACUCAAAGGAAUUGACGGGGGCCCGCACAAGCGGAGGAGCAUGUGGUUUAAUUCGAUGAUACGCGAGGAACCUUACCCGGGCUUGAAAGUUAGUGAAUAAUCCAGAGAUGGAUUAGCCCUUCGGGGCACGAAACUAGGUGCUGCAUGGCUG